UUUAGCAAGUAUGUACUUUGUGGUUUUCAGACAUGAUGCUAUCGUACCUCGAUUACAGUCUAGUGCUCGCCUUGUUGAGAUACUUACUUCAUCGUAGUAGUCUGGAACUGAACCUGCACGAUCUCUAAGCAACACAGCUGGGGAAACGAUAUGCCAAUGUUCACCCUCAUCACCCUCCUGAGAACAGGAACCAUGGGGCACAUGGGUCCCCUCAGGAGACUACAAGAGAGAAAAGGAUUUUUGGACUGCCUUAUCUGACUGACUCUCUAAAGAUUAAAGAUGUACAAAAGAGUUAUCUCCAAGUUUAAGGCCAGCCACCUCAUGUUUCCAAGACAGCUGCUGGAGUGCCAGCCCUUAGACACAAGGCCAGACGAAGGUGUUGUUCUUCAACCUGCUAGAUUCUUCUUAGGAGAAUGCAGCGCAAGUGCUCGACUUCAGCUUUAAUUGCCAAGGCAUCCAUCUCAAAGAAGGCUCUCCUUCAAAGAUGGCGACCUCCAAGAAACACAUGGUCAGCCCCAGGACAAGACAGAGCCAGGCUACCUCACCCCACUGAGCCUCCUUGGUUUCAGAGAACUCGAUUUCAAUAACUGACCAUUUGGGCCACGUGCCUUUUCUUUUCUCACCUUUUUUGAAAUUCACCAAUAGUGAGUGAGCCCCUGAACUCUAGGCCCCUACUCUCCACCCCAGUAAAAGCAGAACCUCUGGCCUGUGCAUGCUCUCCCUCUAUCUGUGACCUCAUUGUGGGGCCCCCGGUGCACAGGGUAAUCUCCAAGUCUUGCAAGUCAGAAAUCUCUAUCUUUUCAAAGUUUCCUGAUGGUGGUUGCUACAGAGCAUCUUGCAAUCAUAGUAAGAACCACAAGGGCCGAUCCACCGACAACACUGGUCAUUGAUAGGCUGCGAAUGCGCUAAAACAACUUAUGUCAGCAGGAUUGCACGGUUGCUCUUGCAAUCAACUGAGGGGAAUGCCCUUUACCUGUUGUUUGCUCACUAGCCAUCCAACUCAGGGAACUAACCAUCUGGGAAACUGAGCAUGCUUGCCGGGGGUCUGUGGCACUGCUAUGUGCUCUUACGUAUUGCCUUCGCGAUAUGCUCCCUGCGGUAUCCAACCCAAAGAGUCAUGAUACAGUUACAAACAGUCUCUGCAGAGUGAUGUGAUCAAGGUCAUAGGCCUAAUGAGACAUUAAUUACAAAGUCCUUGAAGCGCCUGGUGGCUCAGUGGGUUGAGUGUCUGACUCUUGGUUUUGGCUCAGGUCAUGAUCCCAGGGUCCUGGGAAGGAGCCCCUUGUUGGGUUCUGCACUGAGCCUGAAGCUUGCUUGAACUUCUCUCUCUCCUUCUGCCCUUCUCGCUCACUCUCCAAAAAAAAAAAAAAAAAAAUUCUUUUAAGUCCCUAACUAACAUAGGAAAAGGUCUCCCACACCUUAAGGCUAAGGAGGGUAGAUUAGAUUGCAAGGGUAUUACUGCAAUAAAAAACCAGUGAGGGAAACCAGAGGGAAAACACAACAGAGGCCUUGGUUUUUGUAUCACCA
Molecule: long non-coding RNA, 1527 nt
Organism: Acinonyx jubatus (cheetah)
Lineage: Eukaryota; Metazoa; Chordata; Mammalia; Carnivora; Felidae
Exons: 5
Source: RefSeq, a predicted model, not a curated record